RNAcentral lists this long non-coding RNA (1066 nucleotides) under Nicotiana benthamiana. Its description in RNAcentral is "long non-coding RNA (NBEN_LNC034124)". The record is from RNAcentral. Lineage: Eukaryota; Viridiplantae; Streptophyta; Magnoliopsida; Solanales; Solanaceae.
AGGGAGUUGACAGACAUAAUCCUUAAGAUAGGAAGGAGGAUUAUGCUGUCUAGUGGACUUUCUAGGAGUAGGAAGAGGAUGUGAAGGAGGUAGAACAGGAGGAGAGAUAUCAUGAUUGAAAGAAGGAAGGGAAGAUGAAGCAGCAUCAGUAAAAUCAGGAACAGGAGAAUCAGAUGUAAAAUUAGGAACAGGAGAAUCAGGAGAAGCAUGUUAGGAAAAUCUGUGUCAGGAAAAUGUUCAGCAGGAGGAAUAGAAGGAAAAGAUGAAGGAGAAGGGUGAGCGGAAGAAGGUUUAUUCUUAAAAGGAAAACAAGUUUCAUGGAAGACAACAUCCCUGGAGACAAAAAUAGGAAAAUCUGUGUCAGUGGAAUGCUCAGCAGGAGGAAUAGAAGGAAAGGAUGAAGGAGAAGGGUGAACAGAAGAAGGUUUAUUCUUAAAAGGAAAACAAGUUUCAUGGAAUAGAACAUCCCUGGAGACAAAACAUGUCUUGGAGACCAGAUCAUACAGUUUAUAACCCUUUUUGGUAAAGGGGUAACCCAGAAAAACACAAGACAGGGCUCUAGGCUUCAGCUUGUCCCGUUGAGGAAUAGGGACAGCAUCAUAAGCAAGGCACCCAAAUGCCCUCAAAUGAGAAUAUGAUGGAGCUUUCCCAUACAAAAUUCGUGAGGAGACUUAUUGUGAAGAAUUCUGGAAGGUAUUUUGUUAAGAAGAUAAGUAGCAGUCAACAGACAAUCCCCCCAGAAAGACACAAGUAGGCCAGAUUGAAAAAGCAAGGCUCUACAUGUUUCAAGAAGGGUUCUGUGCUUUCUUUCAACAACACCAUUCUGUUGAGGUGAAUGAGGGCAGGAGGUUUGAUGAAUAAUACCCUGGCUACUAAAGAAAGAUAUGCCCUCAAUGCUGGAUCCCAAUUCUAAGGCAUUGUCACUUCAAACAGUUUGAACCACGGUGUUAAACUGAGUUUUAACAAAACAGAUGAAAGACUUAAGCAGGGAAAAAGUAUUGCAUUUAGAUCCCAUUAAGUGUGUCCAGGUUGCCCUAGAAAAAUCAUCAACUAUAGUAAGGAAGUA